CAAAGAAGAAGAUAGCGCCACUUCCAACGGUCCAGACUGACUCCGCUCAGCAAGGGAGGCCAGCAGCACCCUGCCCUGAACCAACAACCUUCUAUUUCAAUGGUGGUGAUCCAAAUCAGUGUGGAGCAGAAUGCACCAUAGAGAUGUACAAUUCUCCUGUUGAACACCUCAAGACUGUCCUGUGGGUAUUGUGUACUGUAGCGUUGUCCUGUUGAAAAACCCAGUGGUUACCACACAGACGAGGGCCCUUAGUCACGAGGGAUGCUCUCUGCAACAUCUGGACAUCACCAGCAGCUGUUUGACGCCCCUGCACCUCCUGAAGCUCCAUUGUUCCACUGAAGGAAAAAGCACCCCAGACCAUUGUGGCGCCCCCUCCACUGUGGAGCGUAGACAACAUCUCAGACUGCAAGGAAAGAACGCUAAUCUACACCGAGCAUCUGAAGAACAACAUGCAAGUCCUCAACACAUUGGAUCCAAAACCUGUUCCAGUUCCUCAGACACCAUCAGAGACUGUUUUGAAAGCCCUCUACUAUCAAGUCUGGAUAAAAAGAAACUUUGUCAUCCACUGCAAGUAUCAAGUGUUUUAAAUUUUGUUUGACUGUUUAUUAUGUACUUAUUUGUUUUUGGUUGUAUUAAGUUUGAUAUUAAUUAGAUCAGUGCCUUUUUAGUCAUUAAUUUGAUUAUUAAAUAUUAACUGUUUAAUUUAAUCAUUGUCUCUACUGGUUUUUAUUAAUGUUUCUAGCAAAUUAUGACAAAAAGUCAAAGAAUGUAACUUUUAUGCCAAUUAGCCCUAUUACGUUUAUUACCUCAUUUGUUGGACCUUAAUUUUUUUAGACAACAUUCUGGCUACAACAGCUGCCAAUAAUUUCGUGUAAAUAUGAACUUUUGAAUAAAAAGCCAUGUUUGGUAAUUUACAGCU
Long non-coding RNA from Oreochromis aureus, 919 nucleotides. RefSeq lists it as uncharacterized. The record is from RefSeq and is a predicted model, not a curated record. Lineage: Eukaryota; Metazoa; Chordata; Actinopteri; Cichliformes; Cichlidae. The transcript is spliced from 3 exons.